This 598-nucleotide ribosomal RNA is filed under the name Burkholderia sp. RNAcentral's name for it is "bacterial SSU rRNA". It matches the Rfam family "Bacterial small subunit ribosomal RNA", at positions 157 to 750 of the family's 1533-position model. The record is from RNAcentral. Lineage: Bacteria; Pseudomonadati; Pseudomonadota; Betaproteobacteria; Burkholderiales; Burkholderiaceae.
GCCGGAUUAAUACCGCAUACGAUCUAUGGAUGAAAGCGGGGGAUCUUCGGACCUCGUGCUAUAGGGGCGGCCGAUGGCAGAUUAGCUAGUUGGUGGGGUAAAGGCUCACCAAGGCGACGAUCUGUAGCUGGUCUGAGAGGACGACCAGCCACACUGGGACUGAGACACGGCCCAGACUCCUACGGGAGGCAGCAGUGGGGAAUUUUGGACAAUGGGGGCAACCCUGAUCCAGCAAUGCCGCGUGUGUGAAGAAGGCCUUCGGGUUGUAAAGCACUUUUGUCCGGAAAGAAAUCCUUUUGGCUAAUAUCCGAAGGGGAUGACGGUACCGGAAGAAUAAGCACCGGCUAACUACGUGCCAGCAGCCGCGGUAAUACGUAGGGUGCGAGCGUUAAUCGGAAUUACUGGGCGUAAAGCGUGCGCAGGCGGUUCGCUAAGACCGAUGUGAAAUCCCCGGGCUUAACCUGGGAACUGCAUUGGUGACUGGCGGGCUAGAGUAUGGCAGAGGGGGGUAGAAUUCCACGUGUAGCAGUGAAAUGCGUAGAGAUGUGGAGGAAUACCGAUGGCGAAGGCAGCCCCCUGGGCCAAUACUGACGCUCAU